Molecule: unclassified non-coding RNA, 644 nt
Filed under: Hevea brasiliensis (rubber tree)
Lineage: Eukaryota; Viridiplantae; Streptophyta; Magnoliopsida; Malpighiales; Euphorbiaceae
Source: RNAcentral
AAUUUCAGCAGCAUCUGCUGAUAAUAUCAUCAGCCCAUGAUGGUAAACUAAGCAUUUCUCUUUGAUUUUUUCAUGCACGGAAAAACUAGCUACAUCCAGAUAUGCAAGAAAGUUAACAAGGAUCCAUACAGUAUAGAACAUUCAGUUCUACACUUGCGAUCACUUCCUUUUUGUUUUGAAGUGCUCUCCACCUAUACACUAAUUGGUAUUGAAAUCUGAUACAAACUGAGAUGUACAUGAUUAGCGACCUCGGCCACGUCCACGGCCACGUCCUCGCCCCCGACCACGUCCCAAAGGCUUCCCAGCAGUUGCCUUCUUGGGCUUAACCCUUGGUGUUUCUUCCACAAGUAGAGUUUCCAAGUUCAAGCUAUCAGGAAGGAUAUAGUAGCGGAUGUUGUUUCCUCUCACGCUUAAAUGAUCAAGAGUAACUGGAUUUUUACCCUUCAAUGUCAAUUUCACUGUCCUCAAGUGUGUAUUCAUACUGACAUCGACACCUGUGAUAGUGCCAUGAACAAUACUACCGUUUUUGAGCUCAAUCGAUAUUGUCUCGUUGUUUAAUUUCAUCAAAAACCUGACGAGCUUCAUCUUGAGCACAGAGAUGGAGAGAGCUCGCAGUGGAAUCGGUUGGUACACAGAGAUUGAGA